AAAUUGUCUUAGUUCCGCGCUCGCAUCUUCACCGCGUCCCCGCCACUACUGCCAUCGCUGCCAUAUCAGUGUCGUUGCAGCCCGUAAACUGUUGCAAUAGGAAGCAAACAAAUAGUUGCAUGUAGGGAAAGGAAAACUAAGGGGGGGCACAACGUGUAAGCACUCCCGUUCUCCCACCCCUCACUCCUCGGCACAGCCCGUCACCUACCUAAGGACAGCUGGUUUCAUCUUUAGCGAUUGCCGAGCCCCCUUCUUCCCUAACCCACCCAAACUGCUCACUUACGACCAUCACGCACCCUAGCCUUCAUCGCUGUACAGAUUUUCGAUACACACGCAAGCCUUCUCGCACUAACCUCACUCAUACAAACCGCUGGAAAGGACGGUGUCACCACCGAGACAUCCACAGCAUCUUUUUGCACUUGAGCAUCACGGGCCGUUCCCCAUCCCCAUCUCCCUCUCCUCCCUUUCUAGUGUGUUCGUUGGGUGAUUCGGUGCCUCCCUCUCGAGACCCGCCACGCUUGUGCUCUGUGUUUCUUCUUUCGGUUUUUUUUUCGGGAGCAGUGCUGUGCUCCACUAGUCUCUCCCGUGGCGGUGUUACGCACACGCUGGGGAUCCUACGUGACCUCCACCCUCCCCGACCCCGCCCACAUAAACAUCCCCGCCAACACGGAAGGAAUCCUCAACGUUGCCUUCUCUUUCUUUUCUUCGUUCUUCCCUCUCCCCUCUCCCCCACUUCCGACCCCUUUACUUGUUCAAUAUACACACACGCAGGGGCUCACGCUGGCGCACUGCACUUCAUCGCUCUCCCCCUUCCAUAAACCUGCACACCCCAAACAGACAUACGCACACCCACAUUUGUAGACCUGUUUGCACCCAUCCGCGCUACCUCGGCCUCCCGCGGACGCUCCCCCUCCGCCCAUUCCAUCUAUUUCAUCGAUCGAUUUGUCGACUUGUUGAUUUGCUUCUUUGCCUCUUCCCAGCACCAGCACCGCCCGCACACGCACACCUUUUUUCCUCCCGCCAUCGCAGCCGUGCCACGAAUCGGUUGACUGGCUUGUGUUCCGUGUGUGUUCAGUGUGUGUGUGUGUGUGUGUGUGUGUGUGUGUGUGUGUACGCACCGUCGACUCUGAUCUUUGUCCUCCCUGCCCCCCUCCCCCGUCCCCUUUGGGCGUAGCUGAGUUUCGAAGGUCGCGGAAUCGUACAUUGCAGCUUAGUGCGCAACGCAAAGAUGCCGGCCACCAAGUCAUUAGCGGAGCUGCAGGCGGAGGUCUGCCGCCUGGAUGACCGCUACCUUCUGGAGCGCAUCAUCGGCGCCGGAUCCUAUGGCGUUGUGAUUCGCGCGCGUGACACCAAGAGCGACAACCGCCUUGUCGCCAUGAAGCGCGUGAACAAGGAAAUCUUUGAAGAAGUUAUUCUGGCGAAGCGCAUUCUGCGCGAGAUCAAGCUGCUGGCGCACUUCAAUGACGACAACAUCAUUGGCCUGCGCAACAUCCUCACCCCGGAGGACCCGGAAAACUUUGACCACUUCUACAUCGUAAUGGAUAUUAUGGAAACCGACCUGAAGCAGGUGCUGCGCAGUGGGCAGGAGCUGACGGAGGCGCACAUUCAGUUCUUCAUCUACCAGGCACUGCGUGCGCUGCACAUUAUUCACAGCGCCGGCGUUAUCCACCGCGAUAUUACGCCGGCGAACAUUCUGGUCAACACGAACUGCGACUUGAAGAUUUGUGACUUCGGCCUGGCGAAGGAGGAAAACGAUCAGGGAGAGUACAUGACGGACUACGUGACGAUGCGCUGGUACCGUGCGCCGGAAUUGGUGAUGGAGGACAAGGACUACUCAGCGCAGAUUGAUGUGUGGGGCAUCGGCUGCAUCCUCGGCGAGCUACUCGGCUCUCGGCCGCUCUUCCAGGGAAAGGACCGGGUGAACCAGCUGGACAAGAUAGUCGAUGUGAUCGGUACGCCAUCUGAAGAAGACAUCAACUCCGUAGGAUCGUCUGCUGCGCAGAAGUACCUCAAGAAGAAGAGUCACCGACCGCAAGCUGACUGGCGCCAGCGCUACCCGACGGCGUCUCCAGAGGCGCUCGACCUGCUGCGCCACAUGCUGGUCUUCAACCCGAAGCGGCGAAUCACGGUGCUGCAGGCGAUGCGUCACCCGUUCCUGGAGCAGCUGCACGAUGACGCGGAUGAUAACCUCAGCUACGCUCUCUUCCGCUUUGACGAGAACGAGCAGAAGACGAUAGUGGAUGUGAAGCGCGCCAUCUACGAGGAGAGUGUCAAGUUUCACAAUGAACAUCCAUCCUCGAUGCGGGCAACGACCAUGUACAGCGCCUUCAACACCCCCAGCGUGGCCGCACCGAGCGUGGCAACAGAGGGCGAGGGCCGCUCGGCGCAGCAGACGAUUGAGAAGAACAUUCCCGAGAACGUGGCAGACGGCAAUUUUGACCGCGAGCAAGUCUGAAACGACUGGCGGCACGUGUAAAGUACGGAGAGUGACGUGCAACACAAAGAGGGGCGAGAGGGUGCAAGUGGGAGACGCAGCGGAUGUCCAGGAGCAGAGGUGAAGGCGCCGCAGCAAGAGAGAGAGGGGGGAAUAAUGCAAGCUACCCUAUCUUGCAUAAUAAUGCUGUAACCACUUUUUGGCCUCUCUGGCAUCCUUCUUUGCAGUUUGCACUCCUCUGCCACUCUCAUGGUUGUCCUUGGCUGCACUCCUUGGCAUGCUCACGCAUACAUUCACGCCUAGGAGAGAAGUAGCGAAGAGAAGCGAGACAUGGACGGGAGACGCGGAAUGCUCUAUAAGACGAGAAAGAAGGGCGUAGCCCACAGACACGAACCUCCACAGAAAGAGCGAAGACACUUGAAGGCAUCACCUGCUUCUGUCGUGAAGGCCGCUAUAUAUAUAUAUAUAUAUGCUGUUUGCUGUAUGUUUUGACGGCGUUUCUGUUUGUAUUUAUGAGUGACGUCGUCCUCCACCCUCUCCCCCUCUCUCCUUCCCCCCCCCCGCGCAUCAUGAUAAAGUCACUUUGAAUUUUAUUUCCUCUAUAUAUACAUAUUUUUUUUUUCAGAAUUAUCAGCCCCUCUCCCGCAUGUUCUCUUGAAAACAUGAUGAAAGGUUGUAAACGCCUCUCACCGUGUCUUUAUGUUGCUCUCAACGCUGAUGGAGGUGUGUGCUCCCACACUCCAAAGGGAAGCAACCAAGAAACAGGAAGGUAAGGUAAGAAAGACAACGUGGGAUUGCUCCUGCUUCAAGUCACAUCCCCCGCCCUCCUCCACGCACAUGCACACACACGCACACAGCCUAUGAGAACGCGGAGCGUCCAGGAAGGUUGUGUGUAGCCGUCGUGUGUUUUACCAGAUUUGCUUCUGCCCCUUUGUCCGCAUCCCCCUCUUUUCGUAUCUGCCUCUCAUAUGGGCAUCACUGGACUCCACCUCUUUCUUUCCCUCACGCUCUCUCUUCGGUGGUAGUGUUGCGGUGUCUCUUUGCAUACGUUACUUUUCAAAUUCUUCUUGAAGGUCUCUCGCGGGGCACGCUUGUAUAUUUAUUCAUAUAUUUAUGUGUGUGUCUGUGUCUGUGUCUGCGGUGGUGAUAGUGUCUGCGCUUGUCCCCCUUUUUUGAGCGGCUUGUCGGUAUCUCCUCCGAAACUUUGUCUCUUCUCUCGGCUUACUCGCCCUCGUUUCCUCGUCUUGACAUUAUAUAUAUAUAUAUAUAUAUAUAUAUAUAUAUAUAUAUAUAUAUAUAUAUAUUAUUGCUUUUCUCUCUUCGCCUCUCCUCCACCCUUCUUUCAUCUCCCCUCCUCUACUCUUCUGUAUGCGUGCGUGCGUGUGUGUGUGUGUGUGUGUGUGUGUGUUCAACGAUCUGAAGGGAAGCAAAGUCCGACGUGGUGAGGAAGACACGAUUGUGCUCGGCGCUCGAUGCUUGGACUGAUCAUGCUUUUCUAAGGCGAUUACCGUUGAAGAAACACAGAUGAAGGGAACAAACAGAAGAACAAAAAGAAAACAAAGAAACGUGAACACGAAGAGUAAAAGUGUUGCUCACCCCCCACCCACACACAAAAAAGAAAAAACAAAGGCUCAUUACGCUGCUGCUAUUUUGUUUCACGUUUCCUCGUGCUUUUUUUUCCCGGCUGCUGCGUUGGGCUUGAUCAUCUAUUUACUCUCUUCUUUGCUUCUUCCUUGUUUGACGUGCGGCUCACUCUCGCUCUUUCUGUGUUGUUGUGGCUCAUGUUCAUCCGCAUGCACCAGCUUCUAUGACUGUGUGUGUGUGUGUGUGUCGAUGUGUUUGUGUACGUGGAUAGAGGGAGGCACGGAAGAGGGAGGAAGGUUUCUCUGCGCCUUUGAUGAUGCUGUAUCGUGUCUGUACCUCUCGUCAUCUGUUUCGCAAGAGUAUCCCUUGUCUCUUUUUUUUUGAUUCUCCUCCCCCCUCUACCUCGGCAAUUUUUCGUUCCUUCUAUGGUUUCACUGCUCACUGCUCGUGCAUGGCUCACGUUAGACGUAUAUGUUCUUGAGCUGGGUUGCGGGGUGGAGUCGGAUCAUGGGGUGUUAUACCGUUCUCUAAUUUUUCUUCGUCCUUUUGAGAGGGGCUGUACUCCUCCUACGAUAUAUAUAUAUAUAUGUAGCGAUAGACAUGCUGAGAGAUGUUUUUCCUUCGUUUUUUUUUUCGCACACCCUCCCCUCCCCUCUUCCUUUUCUUUUUGCCCUGUGUCUCUAUUCCAGUGGCGAUUUCGCUGAUUUCUUUGUCGUGCUGUUAUCUUCGUUCGACGUGUAGCCCUCUUCCCGUGUGGGUGAAGGGGGAGGGCGUUGUACCCAUGCGUUGCCGGUGUGUCCUUUCGCUCUCUGGUUUUCCAUCCUGCCGUUCCCCUGUCCUUUUUUUUUGUUGUUGUUGUUUUGCUUUCUGCGUUCGCAUAAGAAAGUGGUGUGUGGUAGUGCUGUUUCUUCAGGGGCCGCAUUUUCCUUCAUCACAUCUCCCCCCCUCCCCGCACGCCUGCAAUUCCCUCCCGCUCGCGUACUGCGGGCCUACCCCGACGUAGAAGCUUCAUUUGUUUUUGUUUUUUCCACUUCUUACUCUUCGUAGAAACAGAUCAGAGGAAAGGCAUGAGAGAGAGCAGAUGGGAGGGGAAGGGCAGUGAUGGUGGAGAGUGUUGGCGUGUGAGAAUGGGGGAGGCCAUGAAACGCAGCCGCGAUUGAGGCCUACGUACUUUAUUAUUGCUUCUUUUUUUGUGCUGGUCGUUUCCAUCUGCCUCUCUCUUACCGGCGACAGUCGACAUAUUCGUGAAGUCGUGUCUUCAAUCGGGAGAGCCGGGUUCAUCUGGCGCUGCAUGCGUCAAAGGUUGAUUUGUUUUUAUAUGUGCCCUGAUGACGGCGUAGCGCCUCAGCGUGCUCUUGGGAUCCAAUACUCGCUCUGUUGUGGGAGAAGCCAGGCCGCUCCUCUAUCCCCUGCCAAUGCCGAGCCACUGCUGGUCGUGGCAGGGCCAAGUGCUUACGAUGUGGGGAGGUCAGAGCGAUGUGCCACUACCGGUGUCGGCGGUGUGGUUCUGGAUAGCGUUGCAUCGGAGCGACCUGCAACAGCGAGCACGUUUGUACGAGUCCAUAUGGGCAAGGUAUCAUCAUGGCUGGAACUCAUCUCACCCGGCCCUCGCACUGCCCACUGGUGCGGAAAGCCGGGGCCACCCCGAGGGGGCAGCGCCAGGUGGCGAGCGGCAUGAUGGGAGGAGCAGUUGUGAGGCGACCCGUGAGGCGGGGGUAGGCAGAUUAUGAGGCCGAGGCCGUGCUGUUAUAGCUGAGCCUUCAUUGCUGUAACGCGUGUCUAUGGCUGCUUCGCAUCAGGCGAUGGGCCUCGUGGCAGGCCGAGGGUAGCGCAGCGUGUAAGUCAUUUUUGUAUGGCAAAGUGAAAAUUUGAAGAAAAGUUGUCGUGGCUGUGCACGAUUGGUGGUUCCUUCUUCUCUCUUUAUUCCGGCUCUCGCCGAAGAAACUUAACACCUGAAGAAAAGAGUUAGCAGGGACAAGUGUACGCAUAAAGGAGAGGAAUGACGACCAACUCGGUGGCCUCCACUUCCACGGCAGUAGUGCCCGGAGCCUACGUGGGUUGCCCUAACGACGUGUGUUCGUGCUCCCUCUCCCUCCCUCUCUCGCAGCCCUUCGUGGGCUGUUGAUCGCAGCCUAGAGUAAGGUCUGCUCCAUGCUAGGGGCUGUCACACGUUGAUGAGGUGGGGCUUGUGCACCUGCCAGCGUGUGCGUGUGUGUGUGUGUGUGUCUCUCUCCCUCUCUGCACCUCGAAGGCGAAUGGGCUCGCGCGUCCUCAAACCAUUGUUUACACAUGCAUACAACCCUACUGCAUCCACCUUGACCUCUACCUCCUUCGCUCCCUGCAUUCUCUCUCCUCCUUCGUGGUGUCUCGCAUAUUUUGUUUUCGCUGCCUUUGUGUUGUUAUUUGAAACCGGUGGAUGUAUGUAUGCUUCUGCGCUUUCCUGUUCCCGCUGUCGCUACGCGUGACCUCCACGCUUUCUAAAUGGAUCGCGCUAG
RNAcentral lists this unclassified non-coding RNA (6513 nucleotides) under Leishmania donovani. Its description in RNAcentral is "gene:LdHU3.33.2200(CDS-product:mitogen_activated_ protein_kinase_putative)". The record is from RNAcentral. Lineage: Eukaryota; Euglenozoa; Kinetoplastea; Trypanosomatida; Trypanosomatidae.